CAGCCGCCACGGUAAUACGUAGGUGGCAAGCGUUGUCCGGAAUUAUUGGGCGUAAAGCGCGCGCAGGCGGAUAGGUCAGUCUGUCUUAAAAGUUCGGGGCUUAACCCCGUGAUGGGAUGGAAACUGCCAAUCUAGAGUAUCGGAGAGGAAAGUGGAAUUCCUAGUGUAGCGGUGAAAUGCGUAGAUAUUAGGAAGAACACCAGUGGCGAAGGCGACUUUCUGGACGAAAACUGACGCUGAGGCGCGAAAGCCAGGGGAGCGAACGGGAUUAGAUACCCGGGUAGUCCCUGUCUCUUAUACA
RNAcentral lists this ribosomal RNA (301 nucleotides) under uncultured bacterium. RNAcentral's name for it is "partial 16S ribosomal RNA". It matches the Rfam family "Bacterial small subunit ribosomal RNA", at positions 509 to 809 of the family's 1533-position model. The record is from RNAcentral.